AGUUAUUUUCGGGACAACAGGUUCCUUUUAAAAUAUGGCAAUUUUCAUCCUACCUCAAACGCAGAAGUAGUUUAGAAACAUCUUGCACCAUAUGGCUAUCACAGUGAGAAGACGCUGGACGUCCAUAGGAAAGCAUUGAUUAACGCUUUCCUAUGGGCGGUUUGAAUGCACGCACAGCUCUUGUCGCACAUGCACAUUUGGAGCGGAUGUCGGCAGAGGGAGGAGAGUUCAGACAGCACCGAGGGAGCCAGGCGCUGGAGAAAGGUAAGUGGCUGAAAGGGGUUUAACCCCUUAGGCCCAGGGGGAGGUGAGACCUAAUGACCCUUUAGUGCCAGGAAAAUCAGUUUGUUUUCCUGGCACUAUAGUGGUCCUUUAAUUAAAGUUGUAAAUGUAUCUUUGUUUCUGGC
This is a non-coding RNA of Pelobates cultripes (western spadefoot toad), 407 nucleotides long. The record is from the annotation of a GenBank genome assembly. Lineage: Eukaryota; Metazoa; Chordata; Amphibia; Anura; Pelobatidae.